GAUGAACGCUGGCGGCGUGCCUAAUACAUGCAAGUAGAACGCUGAAGGAAGGAGCUUGCUCUUUCCGGAUGAGUUGCGAACGGGUGAGUAACGCGUAGGUAACCUGCCUGGUAGCGGGGGAUAACUAUUGGAAACGAUAGCUAAUACCGCAUAACAGUAGAUGUUGCAUGAUAUCUACUUAAAAGGUGCAAUUGCACCACUACCAGCUGGACCUGCGUUGUAUUAGCUAGUUGGUGAGGUAACGGCUCACCAAGGCGACGAUACAUAGCCGACCGGAGAGGGCGAUCGGCCACACUGGGACGGAGACACGACACAUACUCCUACGGGAGGGAGCAGUAGGGAAUCUUCGGCAAUGGACGGAAGUCUGACCGAGCAACGCCGCGGGAGUGAAGAAGAUUUUCGGAUCGGGAAGCUCGGUUGUAAGAGAAGAACGAGUGUGAGAGUGGAAAGUUCACUCUGUGACGGUAUCUUACCAGAAAGGAACGGCUAACUACGUG
This 497-nucleotide ribosomal RNA is filed under the name uncultured bacterium. RNAcentral's name for it is "partial 16S ribosomal RNA". It matches the Rfam family "Bacterial small subunit ribosomal RNA", at positions 28 to 507 of the family's 1533-position model. The record is from RNAcentral.